RNAcentral lists this ribosomal RNA (1262 nucleotides) under Triticum aestivum (bread wheat). Its description in RNAcentral is "partial small subunit ribosomal RNA". The record is from RNAcentral. Lineage: Eukaryota; Viridiplantae; Streptophyta; Magnoliopsida; Poales; Poaceae.
AUGUCGCGCUUCGGGAAGACCGUCCUCCUCUGCUUGGCCCUGUUCGCCGCAUGGCACCUCUGCUCCACCCUCUUUGCCGGCGCGCCUCCUGGUGGCCACUCUGAGGAGGAGAAAGCUGUGGUCAGCGACGCGGCCGGGAAUGCGUCGGGCCUGAGUCUCGCCAGGGAGGCCGGGGUCCGGGCGGCGGCUGGCACAGGCCGCAACUUCGUCGUCUCGCCGCUGUCCAUCCACGCGGCGCUCGCGAUGGUGGCCGCCGGCGCGCGGGGCGAGACGCGUAGGGAGCUCCUGGGGCUCCUCGGCUCAGCGUCGCUCGACGAGCUGCACCGCGCGCCGGCGAUCAAGCUUGUCGGCAGACUCAACGGGCUGAAGCAGACGUCCUUCGCCUGCGGCGUGUGGGUCGACCGGAGGCGGGCGCUCAGGCCGGAGUUCACGGCCACCGGCGCGUCGCGGUACGCCGCGACGGCGGAAUCCGUGGACUUCGUGUCGGGGGCCGAGCAGGCGAGGCGGCGCGUGAACGGCUUCGUGGCGGACGCGACGAAGCAGCGCAUCCGUGACGUCCUCCCUCCCGGCUCCGUCGACUCGUCCACGACCGUCGUCCUCGCCAACGCGCUCUACUUCAAAGGGGCGUGGCCUGAGCCGUUCGACGUCUUCACCGCGCCGUUCCACACCCCAGGCGGCGCCACCGUGCGCGUGCCGUCCAUGACGACAGGCCGGUCACAGUACGUCGCGCUCUACCCGGGCUUCAGGGCCCUCAAGCUGCCCUACAGGAACGACGGCGACCGCUCCGCUGCAUUCCACAUGCUUAUCCUUCUGCCCGACAGCGGCGGUCUCAGCCUUUCCGAUAUCUACGACAAGGUGGUGUCGUCGCCGGAGUUCAUCAGGAAGCACACGCCAGAAGAGGAGGUUGAAGUACGGCGGUUCAUGGUCCCCAAGUUCAAGUUCACGACCGAGUUCGAGGCGUCGUCGGACAUGCGGAAGCUUGGUGUCACAAGGGCUUUCGCAGGCGGCGACUUCUCCGGCAUGGUGAGCGGCGGGGAUGGGCGGCUCUCCAUCGGCGGGGUGCACCACAAGGCCACCAUCGAGGUGGACGAGCAAGGCACCGUGGCCGCUGCUGCCACGGCCACUGACAUGGCUGGUAGCGCGCUUCCAAGUGAGCCGCCGCAUUUUGUCGACUUUGUGGCGGAUCGGCCCUUCUUGUUUGCCGUGGUUGAGGAGAGGACGGGCACGACGCUGUUCCUUGGUCAUGUGGUUAAUCCUCUCGC